UAAUACAUAGGGGCCAAGCGUUAUCCGGAAUUAUUGGGCGUAAAGGGUGAGUAGGCGGUUAGUUAAGUUUAAGGUAUAAGCAGAGUGCUCAACGCUCUGAGGCUUUAAAAACUGGCUAACUAGAGUUAGAUAGAGGCAAGUAGAAUUCCAUGUGUAGCGGUAAAAUGCGUAAAUAUAUGGAGGAAUACCAGUGGCGAAGGCGGCUUGCUGGGUCUAUACUGACGCUGAGGCACGAAAGCGUGGGGAGCAAACCGG
Molecule: ribosomal RNA, 255 nt
Filed under: uncultured archaeon
Lineage: Archaea
Description: partial 16S ribosomal RNA
Rfam family: Bacterial small subunit ribosomal RNA
Source: RNAcentral